CCUACGGGUGGCAGCAGUGGGGAAUAUUGGACAAUGGGCGAAAGCCUGAUCCAGCCAUGCCGCGUGUGUGAAGAAGGUCUUCGGGUUGUAAAGCACUUUCAGUGGGGAAGAAAGCCUUGGGGCUAAUACCCUCGAGGAAGGACAUCACCCACAGAAGAAGCACCGGCUAACUCCGUGCCAGCAGCCGCGGUAAUACGGAGGGUGCGAGCGUUAAUCGGAAUUACUGGGCGUAAAGCGCGCGUAGGCGGUCUGAUAAGCCGGUUGUGAAAGCCCCGGGCUCAACCUGGGAACGGCAUCCGGAACUGUCAGGCUAGAGUGCAGGAGAGGAAGGUAGAAUUCCCGGUGUAGCGGUGAAAUGCGUAGAGAUCGGGAGGAAUACCAGUGGCGAAGGCGGCCUUCUGGACUGACACUGACGCUGAGGUGCGAAAGCGUGGGUAGCAAACAGGAUUAGAUACCCCAGUAGUC
Molecule: ribosomal RNA, 465 nt
Filed under: Vreelandella stevensii
Lineage: Bacteria; Pseudomonadati; Pseudomonadota; Gammaproteobacteria; Oceanospirillales; Halomonadaceae
Description: partial 16S ribosomal RNA
Rfam family: Bacterial small subunit ribosomal RNA
Source: RNAcentral